Molecule: ribosomal RNA, 388 nt
Filed under: uncultured bacterium
Lineage: Bacteria
Description: bacterial SSU rRNA
Rfam family: Bacterial small subunit ribosomal RNA
Source: RNAcentral
GACGAACGCUGGCGGCGUGCUUAACACAUGCAAGUCGAGCGGUAAGGCCCUUUCGGGGGUACACGAGCGGCGAACGGGUGAGUAACACGUGGGUGACCUGCCUUUAGCUCUGGGAUAAGCCUGGGAAGCUGGGUCUAAUACCGGAUAUGACCUCGCGGUGCAUGUUGCGGGGUGGAAAGCCUUGUGCGGCUAGGGAUGGGCCCGCGGCCUAUCAGCUUGUUGGUGGGGUGAUGGCCUACCAAGGCGACGACGGGUAGCCGGCCUGAGAGGGCGACCGGCCACACUGGGACUGAGACACGGCCCAGACUCCUACGGGAGGCAGCAGUGGGGAAUCUUGCGCAAUGGGCGAAAGCCUGACGCAGCGACGCCGCGUGAGGGAUGACGGCCU